RNAcentral lists this ribosomal RNA (25 nucleotides) under Tetratrichomonas sp. KAJ. Its description in RNAcentral is "partial large subunit ribosomal RNA". Lineage: Eukaryota; Parabasalia; Trichomonadida; Trichomonadidae. The record is from RNAcentral.
AAUAAUACGUAGUCUGCGAUAUACA